Corylus avellana is the source of this 433-nucleotide long non-coding RNA. RefSeq lists it as uncharacterized. The record is from RefSeq and is a predicted model, not a curated record. NCBI's taxonomy places the organism in Eukaryota, Viridiplantae, Streptophyta, Magnoliopsida, Fagales, Betulaceae.
CUUCCUUCCUUCUUUUACCACACGGCUUUUGAACUUUUCUUUUAAUUUUUCUUUGACUUCACCUACUCCCAUUUCUUAUUACUUAACGGAGAAGAAGAAACAAUAAGAUAGAGAGAGGGAGCUUUACAGAUAUAAGAAAGAGAAGGCAGAGGGUGAGAUGCUGAGGGGGAGAAACGGAGAUUUAAAGGAUGACCAAAAGAAAAAUUCGCAGAAUAACAAAGAUAGGUUCUUCAAAGAAUGGAACAACAAGAUAUUUUGUCAAGAUGAUUAAUUAGCAGUUUAAAGACUGCUCAUAGCUUCAGUCUAGAGGUAGAAAGGAUGCUGGAAUAGGAGGCCGGAAUGGGGUGGGAAUAAUUAUUAAUUUUCAAAGUCUUUUCAUAUAAGUUAUUGUAAUGAUAUGAUAUUCCGCAACUAAAGUUUAAUGUUUUCUAAU